GAACGGCAGCACGGGAGCUUGCUCCUGGUGGCGAGUGGCGAACGGGUGAGUAAUAUAUCGGAACGUGCCCUAGAGUGGGGGAUAACUAGUCGAAAGAUUAGCUAAUACCGCAUACGAUCUACGGAUGAAAGUGGGGGAUCGCAAGACCUCAUGCUCGUGGAGCGGCCGAUAUCUGAUUAGCUAGUUGGUGAGGUAAAGGCUCACCAAGGCAUCGAUCAGUAGCUGGUCUGAGAGGACGACCAGCCACACUGGGACUGAGACACGGCCCAGACUCCUACGGGAGGCAGCAGUGGGGAAUUUUGGACAAUGGGGGCAACCCUGAUCCAGCAAUGCCGCGUGAGUGAAGAAGGCCUUCGGGUUGUAAAGCUCUUUUGUCAGGGAAGAAACGGUGAGGGCUAAUAUCCUUUGCUAAUGACGGUACCUGAAGAAUAAGCACCGGCUAACUACGUGCCAGCAGCCGCGGUAAUACGUAGGGUGCAAGCGUUAAUCGGAAUUACUGGGCGUAAAGCGUGCGCAGGCGGUUAUGCAAGACAGAUGUGAAAUCCCCGGGCUCAACCCGGGAAUUGCAUUUGUGACUGUAUGGCUAGAGUGUGUCAGAGGGGGGUAGAAUUCCACGUGUAGCAGUGAAAUGCGUAGAUAUGUGGAGGAAUACCGAUGGCGAAGG
Molecule: ribosomal RNA, 664 nt
Filed under: uncultured beta proteobacterium
Lineage: Bacteria; Pseudomonadati; Pseudomonadota; Betaproteobacteria
Description: bacterial SSU rRNA
Rfam family: Bacterial small subunit ribosomal RNA
Source: RNAcentral